This is a long non-coding RNA of Hevea brasiliensis (rubber tree), 436 nucleotides long. RefSeq lists it as uncharacterized. The record is from RefSeq and is a predicted model, not a curated record. Lineage: Eukaryota; Viridiplantae; Streptophyta; Magnoliopsida; Malpighiales; Euphorbiaceae. The transcript has 2 exons.
ACAAGUUAGUAAGUAUCAUCUUGUGGGAAAAUGACAGAACAACUUUUGGAGGAACAGAUCGCUGAAUUCAAGGAGACUGAAAGCAAUGAGAUUGCUUGGACAGAAUCCCACUGAAUCUGAAUUGCAAGAUCGAUUUCACAGAGUUCUUGAAUUUGAUGGAUAAGAAAAUGAAGCUUUGGCAUGUAAUGACAAAUCUUGGAGAGACGUUGUCAGAUGAAGAAGUGGAUGAGAUGGUCCGAGAAGCAGAUAUUGAUGGUGAAGGUGAUGGACAGGUAAAUUAGGAGGAGUUUUUUAGGAUGAUGCUGGCUAAGUAAAUUGCUUCUUAAUUCCUUAGCUGGAAUGUAAUUAGCUGAUGAGUUAUCAGUGGAAGCAGCUAGUGGUUAAACUCUGCCUACAGGAUACCUAAUAACAGAAGGGCCGCGCGUUGGGAAGCUAA